CUGUGCAUAUAAGACAAAGAAAGUACAAUCAGCAAAUAAAUUAUACUAGUAGUUCAAAACUUUUUUUAUUUUUUGUGUUCAAAACAACAUAAUCCAUAGUAGGUAUACAUGGACAAAGAAAAUCGAUUUGUAACAUGAUUAGAUUAGAUUAGAUGGACCAUGUGCAUGUUUAAAAUCACUAUAAGUUUUUAAAGUAUAAUUUAUAUUAAUUUUGUGCGAUUUUAUUUUUUAAUAACAUGUUGAAACUUUAAAUGUAACUUUUAUGAUGACAUGUAAU
Molecule: long non-coding RNA, 277 nt
Filed under: Trifolium pratense (red clover)
Lineage: Eukaryota; Viridiplantae; Streptophyta; Magnoliopsida; Fabales; Fabaceae
Description: long non-coding RNA (TPRA_LNC009224)
Source: RNAcentral